Non-coding RNA from Pelobates cultripes (western spadefoot toad), 316 nucleotides. The record is from the annotation of a GenBank genome assembly. NCBI's taxonomy places the organism in Eukaryota, Metazoa, Chordata, Amphibia, Anura, Pelobatidae.
CUCAUCUGUAGGCGUUAGAAUAGAUUAGUUUUUCUUUAAUAGGAAUAGCUCAAAUAGACCAUGAGUACAAUGUUUCCAAGUGUUUUGGUUUGAAGUCCUGUUGGAACGUCUCCAUACCGGGUUUUUUCCAGUACACUAAAAAAAUUUUUCUAUUCCGAUGACUGUCUAAAUUUAUAGAAUAGACUAAUUUUUCCUAGAUAAGUAUCCCACUCAGUUGAUAAUUCGAUAGGGAAACUGCAAGGAGAAAAACAAAAUUAGUUUAUAUGGCAGCAAUACAAUAUGCGUCAUGGAAACUUAAAACAAUUGGUGUAUAAAU